Molecule: ribosomal RNA, 1738 nt
Filed under: Meloidogyne arenaria
Lineage: Eukaryota; Metazoa; Nematoda; Chromadorea; Rhabditida; Meloidogynidae
Description: SSU rRNA
Rfam family: Eukaryotic small subunit ribosomal RNA (bases 566-1738)
Source: RNAcentral
UUCGUAUAUCCGUUCAACGAUUGCUUUACUAUGCCUGUUUAAAUUUGCAAAUUAAGUUUUAAAAAAAUGAGUAAAUACAUUUUAAAAGUCCGAUUAUUAUUUCGGACUUUAUUAUUUUUACUUAUUAUCCGAUUAUUAUUUUUCCGGGUACUCCAACUUCCCUUAAAUGCAGACACGAAUUAAGCGUAAACGGCAAAAGCUUAAAAGAGUAAAUCGGCCAUCGUAAACCGAAUCGUGAACACCUGGCCAUUUGCAGCUAAAUGAGUAAAUACAAUAUAACCGAUGUGCCAAAAUUGCAAACAGUUUGUGUCCAAUCAGUGCAUGUUGGAAUUUAAUGUGGAUCGAGUCUGUUUUUUAUAUGACAAAAAGUACCUGGGGAUUUACUACUAAUUGAAAAAAUUUUUGAAUUUUAUUUAUGAUGGGUUGGUGUAGCUUUUAUUGAGAUCUCAAAAUCCGAAAUCAACGGAAUAUUUUAACCUACUUAGGGGUAUAAAAAAUUUUUCUCAGGCCUCCAGAAAGCUCACAAAAAUUUUUACAAAAAACACUUGGUCCCAUCUUGGGGAUGAAUUGAGGAGUCAUCAGUUAUAUGUGCGAAUAAAAAAUUCACUCAAAUUACCCCACAGAUUUCCACAGGAAUUCCUAUUAACCCAUGAAACCAGCUGAAUUUCGCAUUGAUUAAAUUACAUUUUUUUCGACCCUGGAACCCUUGAAAAAAAUAGUUUAGAUUAAGCUGAACACUUUCAAGCCAGUCUAGUUCUACCUGCAACAUGUUCUACCUGCAACAUGUAAAUCUAGUUCUACCUGCAACAUGUAAUGUAUAUUGUACAUUCUAUCUUGCAACACUUCUUCCACCCUAUUAUUAUAAGGCCGAGUUAUGGCCCUAAUUGAGCCAUAACUCGGCCAAGAAUGUCUUCAUUAAUCAAGAACGAAAGUCAGAGGUUCGAAGGCGAUCAGAUACCGCCCUAGUUCUGACCGUAAACGAUGCCAACUAGCGAUCCGCCGAUGGAAAUUAUAUUGCCUUGGUGGGGAGCUUCCCGGAAACGAAAGUCUUCCGGUUCCGGGGGAAGUAUGGUUGCAAAGCUGAAACUUAAAGGAAUUGACGGAAGGGCACCACCAGGAGUGGAGCCUGCGGCUUAAUUUGACUCAACACGGGGAAACUCACCCGGCCCGGACACUGUGAGGAUUGACAGAUUGAUAGCUUUUUCAUGAUUCAGUGGAUGGUGGUGCAUGGCCGUUCUUAGUUCGUGGAGUGAUUUGUCUGGUUUAUUCCGAUAACGAGCGAGACUCUAACCUACUAAAUAGCUGGUACAUAAUUUAAGUGUAUACAGCUUCUUAGAGGGAUUUGCGGUGUUCAGCCGAAAGAAAUUGAGCAAUAACAGGUCUGUGAUGCCCUUAGAUGUCCGGGGCUGCACGCGCGCUACACUGGCAAAAUCAACGUGCUUGUCCUACCCCGAAAGGGGCGGGUAAACCAUUGAAAAUUUGCCGUGAUUGGGAUCGGAAAUUGCAAUUAUUUUCCGUGAACGAGGAAUUCCAAGUAAGUGCGAGUCAUCAGCUCGCGUUGAUUACGUCCCUGCCCUUUGUACACACCGCCCGUCGCUGCCCGGGACUGAGCCAUUUCGAGAAAUUUGGGGACCGUUGAUUUAAUUUUCUAAAUUACUUUGAUGGAAACCAAUUUAAUCGCAGUGGCUUGAACCGGGCAAAAGUCGUAACAAGGUAGCUGUAGGUGAACCUGCUGCUG